Molecule: transfer RNA, 87 nt
Filed under: Nevskiaceae bacterium
Lineage: Bacteria; Pseudomonadati; Pseudomonadota; Gammaproteobacteria; Nevskiales; Nevskiaceae
Also listed under: 2 other names
Description: tRNA-Leu
Rfam family: tRNA
About the family: Transfer RNA (tRNA) molecules are approximately 80 nucleotides in length. Their secondary structure includes four short double-helical elements and three loops (D, anti-codon, and T loops).
Source: RNAcentral
GCCCGAGUGGCGGAAUUGGUAGACGCAGUGGACUCAAAAUCCACCGCCCUUAAAAGCGUGUCGGUUCGACUCCGACCUCGGGCACCA